This 502-nucleotide ribosomal RNA is filed under the name beta proteobacterium CI9_1. RNAcentral describes it as "bacterial SSU rRNA". It matches the Rfam family "Bacterial small subunit ribosomal RNA", at positions 106 to 602 of the family's 1533-position model. Lineage: Bacteria; Pseudomonadati; Pseudomonadota; Betaproteobacteria. The record is from RNAcentral.
GUGAGUAAUACAUCGGAACGUGCCCUGUAGUGGGGGAUAACUAGUCGAAAGAUUAGCUAAUACCGCAUACGACCUGAGGGUGAAAGCGGGGGACCGCAAGGCCUCGCGCUACAGGAGCGGCCGAUGUCUGAUUAGCUAGUUGGUGGGGUAAGAGCCUACCAAGGCGACGAUCAGUAGCUGGUCUGAGAGGACGAUCAGCCACACUGGGACUGAGACACGGCCCAGACUCCUACGGGAGGCAGCAGUGGGGAAUUUUGGACAAUGGGGGCAACCCUGAUCCAGCAAUGCCGCGUGUGUGAAGAAGGCCUUCGGGUUGUAAAGCACUUUUGUCCGGAAAGAAAUGGCCUGGGAGAAUACCCCGGGUCGAUGACGGUACCGGAAGAAAAGCACCGGCUAACUACGUGCCAGCAGCCCGCGGUAAUACGUAGGGUGCGAGCGUAAAUCCGGAAUUACUGGGCGUAAAAGCGUGCCCAGGCGGUUUUGUAAGACAGGUCGUGAAAUC